This 512-nucleotide ribosomal RNA is filed under the name uncultured bacterium. RNAcentral describes it as "partial 16S ribosomal RNA". It matches the Rfam family "Bacterial small subunit ribosomal RNA", at positions 28 to 523 of the family's 1533-position model. The record is from RNAcentral.
GACGAACGCUGGCGGCGUGCCUAAUACAUGCAAGUAGAACGCUGAAGAGAGGAGCUUGCUCUUCUUGGAAGAGUUGCGAACGGGUGAGUAACGCGUAGGUAACCUGCCUUGUAGCGGGGGAUAACUAUUGGAAACGAUAACUAAUACCGCAUAACAAUGGAUGACCCAUGUCAUUUAUUUGAAAGGGGCAACUGCUCCACUACAAGAUGGACCUGCGUUGUAUUAGCUAGUAGGUGAGGUAACGGCUCACCUAGGCGACGAUACAUAGCCGACCUGAGAGGGUGAUCGGCCACACUGGGACUGAGACACGGCCCAGACUCCUACGGGAGGCAGCAGUAGGGAAUCUUCGGCAAUGGGGCAACCCUGACCGAGCAACGCCGCGUGAGUGAAGAAGGUUUUCGGAUCGUAAAGCUCUGUUGUAAGUCAAGAACGAGUGUGAGAGUGGAAAGUUCACACUGUGACGGUAGCUUACCAGAAAGGGACGGCUAACUACGUGCCAGCAGCCGCGGUAA